UACGUAGGGGGCAAGCGUUAUCCGGAUUUACUGGGUGUAAAGGGGGCGCAGACGGCGAUGCAAGCCAGGAGUGAAAGCCCGGGGCCCAACCCCGGGACUGCUCUUGGAACUGCGUGGCUGGAGUGCAGGAGGGGCAGGCGGAAUUCCUGGUGUAGCGGUGAAAUGCGUAGAUAUCAGGAGGAACACCGGUGGCGAAGGCGGCCUGCUGGACCGCGACUGACGUUGAGGCUCGAAAGCGUGGGGAGCGAACGGG
This 253-nucleotide ribosomal RNA is filed under the name uncultured bacterium. Its description in RNAcentral is "partial 16S ribosomal RNA". It matches the Rfam family "Bacterial small subunit ribosomal RNA", at positions 524 to 776 of the family's 1533-position model. The record is from RNAcentral.